This 64-nucleotide transfer RNA is filed under the name Dipodomys ordii (Ord's kangaroo rat). It matches the Rfam family "tRNA", at positions 1 to 63 of the family's 71-position model. Rfam says of the family: Transfer RNA (tRNA) molecules are approximately 80 nucleotides in length. Lineage: Eukaryota; Metazoa; Chordata; Mammalia; Rodentia; Heteromyidae. The record is from Rfam by way of RNAcentral.
GGGAAGUUGGCUCAGUGGUAGAGCACUUGCCUUGUAUGCAUGAAGCCCUGGGUUUGAUUCCUCA